AUAUUUGCUUCAAUUACAGCCUGUUAUUAGAGAGAUGUCAAUAAGAUGGAAUAAUGUGUAUGAUGAAAUAAUCCAAUAAGGAAUUCAAAUAAAAAAAGGCACAAAAAUCCACAGUAAUCAAGCAUUCAGCUAGUGCUCUUAUUAACUCCAGCAAAGAAAUAAGUGCUAGUAACUUUUUAUGAUGGCAUUCAGUAAUGGACAUUGAAAACACUCAUGGUAGUCAUUGCUUUGGUAGCAUAUGAAGGCAUGGAAAUAUAUAGGAUGAUGAAACAUAUGAUUAUUUUUGCACAUUACCUGUAUUUGAUUUCUAUUCCCAG
This 317-nucleotide unclassified non-coding RNA is filed under the name Hevea brasiliensis (rubber tree). The record is from RNAcentral. Lineage: Eukaryota; Viridiplantae; Streptophyta; Magnoliopsida; Malpighiales; Euphorbiaceae.